RNAcentral lists this ribosomal RNA (475 nucleotides) under uncultured organism. Its description in RNAcentral is "partial 16S ribosomal RNA". It matches the Rfam family "Bacterial small subunit ribosomal RNA", at positions 330 to 797 of the family's 1533-position model. The record is from RNAcentral.
CGUACACUCCUGCGGGAGGCAGCAGUAGGGAAUCUUCGGCAAUGGGGGCAACCCUGACCGAGCAACGCCGCGUGAGUGAAGAAGGUUUUCGGAUCGUAAAGCUCUGUUGUAAGUCAAGAACGAGUGUGAGAGUGGAAAGUUCACACUGUGACGGUAGCUUACCAGAAAGGGACGGCUAACUACGUGCCAGCAGCCGCGGUAAUACGUAGGUCCCGAGCGUUGUCCGGAUUUAUUGGGCGUAAAGCGAGCGCAGGCGGUUUGAUAAGUCUGAAGUUAAAGGCUGUGGCUCAACCAUAGUUCGCUUUGGAAACUGUCAAACUUGAGUGCAGAAGGGGAGAGUGGAAUUCCAUGUGUAGCGGUGAAAUGCGUAGAUAUAUGGAGGAACACCGGUGGCGAAAGCGGCUCUCUGGUCUGUAACUGACGCUGAGGCUCGAAAGCGUGGGGAGCGAACAGGAUUAGAAACCCGAGUAGUCCC